GAUGAACGCUGGCGGCGUGCCUAAUACAUGCAAGUCGAGCGAACGGACGAGAAGCUUGCUUCUCUGAUGUUAGCGGCGGACGGGUGAGUAACACGUGGAUAACCUACCUAUAAGACUGGGAUAACUUCGGGAAACCGGAGCUAAUACCGGAUGAUAUUUUGAACCGCAUGGUUCAAAAGUGAAAGACGGUCUUGCUGUCACUUAUAGAUGGAUCCGCGCUGCAUUAGCUAGUUGGUAAGGUAACGGCUUACCAAGGCAACGAUGCAUAGCCGACCUGAGAGGGUGGUCGGCCACACUGGAACUGAGACACGGUCCAGACUCCUACGGGAGGCAGCAGUAGCGAAUCUUCCGCAAUAGUCGAAAGCCUGACGGAGCAACGGCGCGUGAGAGAUAAAGGUCUUGGGAUCGUAAAACUCUGUUAUUAGGGAAGAACAUAUUUGUAAGUAACUGUGCAGAUAUUGACGGUACUUAAUCAGAAAGCCACGGCUAACUACGUG
This 497-nucleotide ribosomal RNA is filed under the name uncultured bacterium. RNAcentral's name for it is "partial 16S ribosomal RNA". It matches the Rfam family "Bacterial small subunit ribosomal RNA", at positions 28 to 507 of the family's 1533-position model. The record is from RNAcentral.